This 274-nucleotide ribosomal RNA is filed under the name uncultured bacterium. RNAcentral describes it as "partial 16S ribosomal RNA". It matches the Rfam family "Bacterial small subunit ribosomal RNA", at positions 523 to 796 of the family's 1533-position model. The record is from RNAcentral.
AUACGGAGGGUCCAAGCGUUAUCCGGAAUCAUUGGGUUUAAAGGGUCCGCAGGCGGUCAAUUAAGUCAGAGGUGAAAGCCCAUCGCUCAACGAUGGAACUGCCUUUGAUACUGGUUGACUUGAGUUAUACGGAAGUAAAUAGAAUAAGUAGUGUAGCGGUGAAAUGCAUAGAUAUUACUUAGAAUACCGAUUGCGAAGGCAGUCUACUACGUAUAUACUGACGCUGAGGGACGAAAGCGUGGGGAGCGAACAGGAUUAGAAACCCUAGUAGUCC